AGUGAACGCUGGCGGUAGGCCUAACACAUGCAAGUCGAACGGCAGCACAGUAAGAGCUUGCUCUUACGGGUGGCGAGUGGCGGACGGGUGAGGAAUACAUCGGAAUCUACUUUUUCGUGGGGGAUCACGUAGGGAAACUUACGCUAAUACCGCAUACGACCUACGGUUGAAAGCAUGGGAUCUUCGGACCUUGCGCGAUUGAAUGAGCCGCUGUCGGAUUAGCUAGUUGGCGGGGUAAAGGCCCACCAAGGCGACGAUCCGUAGCUGGUCUGAGAGGAUGAUCAGCCACACUGGAACUGAGACACGGUCCAGACUCCUACGGGAGGCAGCAGUGGGGAAUAUUGGACAAUGGGCGCAAGCCUGAUCCAGCCAGACCGAGUGGGUGAAGAAGGCCUUCGGGUUGUAAAGCCCUUUUGUUGGGAAAGAAAAGCAGCAGGUUAAGACCACGCUGUUCUGACGGUACCCAAAGAAUAAGCACCGGCUAACUUCGUG
RNAcentral lists this ribosomal RNA (492 nucleotides) under uncultured bacterium. Its description in RNAcentral is "partial 16S ribosomal RNA". It matches the Rfam family "Bacterial small subunit ribosomal RNA", at positions 29 to 507 of the family's 1533-position model. The record is from RNAcentral.